Molecule: non-coding RNA, 72 nt
Organism: Potamilus streckersoni
Lineage: Eukaryota; Metazoa; Mollusca; Bivalvia; Unionida; Unionidae
Source: the annotation of a GenBank genome assembly
UCCUGUGGCCUAGUGGUUUGAGCGACUGUCUCAAAUGCUGGAGUUAGUGGGUUCGAACCCCAGCCGAGUAAU